UCCCUCCCCCCCGGCGCACACACGCACAGACAGGCUGCCAGCCCCAGACCCCGUUUCCCUGCCGGGAGAUGCCCGGCCACUCCCUCCCGGGCCCCGCCGAGCACCGCCCGGACCGGCCGCGGCGUCGGGGGCUGCGCCCGCGGGUGGGGCGGGGGGGAUCGGCAGAGAGGGGACCGAGGAGAAGAGGAGGGAAGACGAGGAGGAGGAAAAGGUCCACGCUUUCCUGUCCUAGGUAGAAACACGGGCAGUAGUACCCACGGACAUCACUGAAACCCAGCUUUUGCACAUAGAAACGCACUGGACGGGAUGACACUUGCAGUGUGUGGCAGGGGCAUUUUCUGUGACAGAUCCUCCCAAGCCUGUUUCACAAACCGUUUUCCUUCAAACUGUGAUGUUUCAUUUGGGGAAAUAAACACUCUCUGAAGCAAACGAGUCUGAA
This is a long non-coding RNA of Pezoporus flaviventris, 439 nucleotides long. RefSeq lists it as uncharacterized. The record is from RefSeq and is a predicted model, not a curated record. The transcript has 2 exons. Lineage: Eukaryota; Metazoa; Chordata; Aves; Psittaciformes; Psittacidae.